UGUAGAUCCAUUCGGUGCCUGCCUUACCCAUGGGAGGCACUGACCCAAAAGGCUGCCACAGCGACAUUGUAACUCAUGGGCCCUGUUCCUUCCUCUCUGCUGACCCUCAGGGAUAAAUUUUGUUACAGACAUUU
Small nucleolar RNA from Echinops telfairi (small Madagascar hedgehog), 134 nucleotides. RefSeq annotates it as small nucleolar RNA SNORA5. The record is from RefSeq and is a predicted model, not a curated record. Lineage: Eukaryota; Metazoa; Chordata; Mammalia; Afrosoricida; Tenrecidae. The transcript has a single exon.